ACGGCUCAGUAACACGUGGCUAACCUACCCCUUAGGACGGGGACAACCCCGGGAAACUGGGGCUAACAUCUGAUAGGUGAGGAGGCCUGGAAUGGUUCCUCCCUGAAAAGGCGUUGAAACCAUGCUUUUCAGCGUCGCCUAAGGAUGGGGCCGCGCCCGAUCAGGUUGUUGGUGGGGUAACGGCUCACCAAGCCAUUAACCGGUACGGGCCGUGAGAGCGGGAGCCCGGAGACGGGCACUGAGACAAGGGCCCAGGCCCUACGGGGCGCAGCAGUCGCGAAAACUCCGCAAUGCGCGAAAGCGUGACGGGGCUACCCCGAGUGCCGUCCGCUGAGGAUGGCUUUUCCCCGGUGUAAUGAGCCGGGGGAAUAAGGAGAGGGCAAGACUGGUGUCAGCCGCCGCGGUAAUACCAGCUCUCCGAGUGGUAGGGACAAUUAUUGGGCUUAAAGCGUCCGUAGCCGGCUUGGCAAGUCUCCUGUUAAAUUCAGCGACUUAAUCGUUGAGCCGCGGGAGAUACUACUAGGCUAGGAGGCGGGAGAGGCCGACGGUAUUCCCGGGGUAGGGGUGAAAUCCUAUAAUCCCGGGAGGACCACCAGUGGCGAAGGCUGUCGGCUAGAACGCGCUCGACGGUGAGGGACGAAAGCUGGGGGAGCGAACCGGAUUAGAUACCCGGGUAGUCCCAGCCGUAAACGAUGCGGGCUAGGUGUUGAGGUGGCUACGAGCCACUUCAGUGCCGCAGGGAAGCCAUUAAGCCCGCCGCCUGGGGAGUACGGCCGCAAGGCUGGAACUUAAAGGAAUUGGCGGGGGAG
RNAcentral lists this ribosomal RNA (809 nucleotides) under uncultured archaeon. Its description in RNAcentral is "bacterial SSU rRNA". It matches the Rfam family "Archaeal small subunit ribosomal RNA", at positions 85 to 876 of the family's 1478-position model. The record is from RNAcentral.